CACACGGGAUGUCAGUGCCGGAGAUUGGGACGUCAGGCGGCCCGUGGCCCGUGUGGCCCGUGUGGCAUGAAUAGCCCGGGAGCGUGAUACUGUCACACGGUGGAGGCAGAGACAUUAAAACGCAGAACGAGAGCAGGUUGGGUCUUCAGAAAACUGUCACCCACAGAACUGGUUGACCUCAGCCCGGGUUAGGCUUGUUGACAUGGCCUCAAAGGAAUGUCCCUGUGGGUCCGGCUGGAAUGCGGUCCUAAGUGGCGUAUCUGAAAGCUAAUAUUUGGUUGUCCUUGUCUGUCAUCCCUGGCCUAGUUCUACACUUAAAAGGAGAAGGUGCAGCUUUACCGAAUUCCCCGUCGGUCAAGUCAAUGCCGGCAUCACCAAAUCAUUAACCUGAAGGGAACACUGCCUGUGUUGGCAGUAAGUUUUCUGGAUGUUUCCACCAAGGAAGAAUCGUCCUGAGUCCUAUGUGUGAGUCUGGAGCCCCUCUCCAGGAGCAAGCAGCGUGCCCCGUCGAGUGCAGGAGGCCCCGAGACUUCUGUGAGGUCCCCUUGGUGGAAGGACCCGUUGAGUCCUCACGCUGCUCACGGUGGCCCAGUCAGCCUGAACCCUGGACUUCCCGGUGCCGGACGGCACGCAUUUCCCUGCGGUCCCACAGCCGGGGUACCAUGUGUUGAAAUUGUUUCCUGGCGACGUUUGGGGUGGGUGGGGAGCAGGAGGAAGGGAAACCCAGCUCAGAUCGGGGUGGGCUCCCACACUUGUCUCCAUGCUGUUCCCCAGUUUUGUGCCGGGAGCUUUGCUGGCUGGUUGUUGACGAGUGCGUCCGGCGUUCAGGCCCUGUGCUGAGCCCGGAACAGAAAGAACACUUCUUCAUCGGUGUCCUGGGCAGGAGGAAAUGCGGACACCCGAGUUACCGACAAUGGUUACUCCUGUCAUACCGGCUCUCUGGGGAACAAUGAGCUCUAGAGAAGAUUUAUGGACACAUGGCCCAAGCUGGCCUGGAAAGGACAGGCAGCGGUGCCUGGGUGGCUCAGUGGUUAAGCCUCUGCCUUCGGAUCAGGUCAUGAUCUCAGGGUCCUGGGAUCGAGCCCUGCAUCAGGCUCCCUGCUCAGCUGGGAGCCUGCUUCCCCCCAAACCCCCACCCUGCCUGCCUCUCUGCCUACUUGUGAUCUGUCAAAUAAAUAAAUAAAAUCUUAAAAAAAAAGAAUAUUAAAAAAAAAAAAAGGAUAGGCAGAACCCUGAUAAUGGAAAGAAACGCUCGUGACCAACAAUGCACCCAAGGCAACCUACAACAUGUGGCACAGGCAGCCGAGCCGAUGGCUGGAUAUAGACAGAGCUGUGGUUAAAGCAAGUGCGAAGUCCUUUCAGGGACAGAGCUGCCUGGCACCCGGCUGUGCAUUCGAUGGCAUACCCGACCCGCUGUGACUCCAUCAGGCCCAGAAGAUGGCCAAACUGCCUCUCCAUUUUCUGCAGGAUGAACAGAGUCAUACUGAAUUAAAGUUCUCCGGAGAAACGGAGCCAGUGGGA
Long non-coding RNA from Mustela lutreola (European mink), 1521 nucleotides. RefSeq lists it as uncharacterized. The record is from RefSeq and is a predicted model, not a curated record. The transcript is spliced from 2 exons. NCBI's taxonomy places the organism in Eukaryota, Metazoa, Chordata, Mammalia, Carnivora, Mustelidae.